This 235-nucleotide ribosomal RNA is filed under the name uncultured bacterium. RNAcentral's name for it is "partial 16S ribosomal RNA". It matches the Rfam family "Bacterial small subunit ribosomal RNA", at positions 96 to 334 of the family's 1533-position model. The record is from RNAcentral.
CGGCGGACGGGUGAGUAAUGCUUGGGAAUAUGCCUUUAGGUGGGGGACAACAGUUGGAAACGACUGCUAAUACCGCAUAAUGUCUACGGACCAAAGGAGGGGCUCUUCGGACCUUUCGCCUUUAGAUUAGCCCAAGUGAGAUUAGCUAGUAGGUAAGGUAAUGGCUUACCUAGGCGACGAUCUCUAGCUGGUUUGAGAGGAUGAUCAGCCACACUGGGACUGAGACACGGCCCAG